GUGGGGAAUUUUGGACAAUGGGCGCAAGCCUGAUCCAGCAAUGCCGCGUGUGUGAAGAAGGCCUUCGGGUUGUAAAGCACUUUUGUCCGGAAAGAAAUCUCCUGGGUUAAUACCUCGGGGGGAUGACGGUACCGGAAGAAUAAGCACCGGCUAACUACGUGCCAGCAGCCGCGGUAAUACGUAGGGUGCGAGCGUUAAUCGGAAUUACUGGGCGUAAAGCGUGCGCAGGCGGCUAUGCAAGACAGAUGUGAAAUCCCCGGGCUCAACCUGGGAACUGCAGUUGUGACUGCAUGGCUAGAGUGCGUCAGAGGGAGGUGGAAUUCCGCGUGUAGCAGUGAAAUGCGUAGAGAUGCGGAGGAACACCGAUGGCGAAGGCAGCCUCCUGGGAUGACACUGACGCUCAUGCACGAAAGCGUGGGGAUCAAACAGGAUUAGAAACCCCAGUAGUCC
Molecule: ribosomal RNA, 450 nt
Filed under: uncultured bacterium
Lineage: Bacteria
Description: partial 16S ribosomal RNA
Rfam family: Bacterial small subunit ribosomal RNA
Source: RNAcentral